Molecule: ribosomal RNA, 492 nt
Filed under: uncultured bacterium
Lineage: Bacteria
Description: partial 16S ribosomal RNA
Rfam family: Bacterial small subunit ribosomal RNA
Source: RNAcentral
GGUGAACGCUGGCGGCGGGCCUAAUACAUGCAAGUCGAGCGAACAGACGAGAAGCUUGUGCUCUUAACGUUAGCGACGGACGGGCGGGUGACAAGUGGAUAGGAUUCUUCUAUUUCUGGGGUAACUACGGGAGGAAAGUGCCGAUAAUGGAUCAUACAACGUACGGCUUGGUGCAAUAGAGAUUGGGGGCUUUGGUGAUUGAAUUAGCCGAUGUCGGAUUAGCUAGUUGGCGGGGUAAAGGCACACCAAGGCGACGAUCCGUAGCUGGUCUGAGAGGAUGAUCAGCCACACUGGAACUGAGACACGGUCCAGACUCCUACGGGAGGCAGCAGUAGGGAAUCUUGCGCAAUGGGCGCAAGCCUGACGGAGCAAUGCCGCGUGGGUGAAGAAGGUCUUCGGGUCGUAAAGCUCUGUUGUUGGGAAAGAAAAGCAGUAUGUUUAUCUAUGCACGUCCUGACGGUACCCAAAGAAUAAGCAACGGCUAACUUCGUG